Molecule: ribosomal RNA, 492 nt
Filed under: Bacillus pumilus
Lineage: Bacteria; Bacillati; Bacillota; Bacilli; Caryophanales; Bacillaceae
Description: bacterial SSU rRNA
Rfam family: Bacterial small subunit ribosomal RNA
Source: RNAcentral
GGCGGCGUGCCUAAUACAUGCAAGUCGAGCGGACAGAAGGGAGCUUGCUCCCGGAUGUUAGCGGCGGACGGGUGAGUAACACGUGGGUAACCUGCCUGUAAGACUGGGAUAACUCCGGGAAACCGGAGCUAAUACCGGAUAGUUCCUUGAACCGCAUGGUUCAAGGAUGAAAGACGGUUUCGGCUGUCACUUACAGAUGGACCCGCGGCGCAUUAGCUAGUUGGUGGGGUAAUGGCUCACCAAGGCGACGAUGCGUAGCCGACCUGAGAGGGUGAUCGGCCACACUGGGACUGAGACACGGCCCAGACUCCUACGGGAGGCAGCAGUAGGGAAUCUUCCGCAAUGGACGAAAGUCUGACGGAGCAACGCCGCGUGAGUGAUGAAGGUUUUCGGAUCGUAAAGCUCUGUUGUUAGGGAAGAACAAGUGCGAGAGUAACUGCUCGCACCUUGACGGUACCUAACCAGAAAGCCACGGCUAACUACGUGCCAGCA